GAUGAACGCUGGCGGCGUGCUUAACACAUGCAAGUCGAACGAAGCACUUUAUUUGAUUUCCUUCGGGACUGAUUAUUUUGUGACUGAGUGGCGGACGGGUGAGUAACGCGUGGGUAACCUGCCUUGUACAGGGGGAUAACAGUUGGAAACGGCUGCUAAUACCGCAUAAGCGCACAGCAUCGCAUGAUGCAGUGUGAAAAACUCCGGUGGUAUAAGAUGGACCCGCGUUGGAUUAGCUAGUUGGUGAGGUAACGGCCCACCAAGGCGACGAUCCAUAGCCGACCUGAGAGGGUGACCGGCCACAUGGGGACUGAGACACGGCCCAAACUCCUACGGGAGGCAGCAGUGGGGAAUAUUGCACAAUGGGCGAAAGCCUGAUGCAGCGACGCCGCGUGAGCGAAGAAGUAUUUCGGUAUGUAAAGCUCUAUCAGCAGGGAAGAUAAUGACGGUACCUGACGAAGAAGCACCGGCUAAAUACGUG
Molecule: ribosomal RNA, 481 nt
Filed under: uncultured bacterium
Lineage: Bacteria
Description: partial 16S ribosomal RNA
Rfam family: Bacterial small subunit ribosomal RNA
Source: RNAcentral